UGCUCGAUGCAGAACGACGGCGGCGCGCGGAUAAGGCGCGGCGGAGCGAAGUACUUGCAGGUGGAGGCGGGCCUCCAUGGCUCACACGGGGAACUCCGAGGUUAUGGCGCGACAACAGCGACUCCUUAUGUCCAGAUAGAGGCGCCUAACCCUUGCUCCCCUCAUCGUAUCCCCUCCUCCGGCAGGAACUCAUCAUCUGGUGAGAUCCCCUCCCCAUGCCUCCAACCGUGUGCCAAGCACCGGCAAGAAAUUUUGUUUUGUGAGGAUUUGUUUGCUGAUGAAUGAAUGUAUUGAAUGUAAGAUUGCAUUGUUGUAGAGACAGAGAAUGGAA
RNAcentral lists this long non-coding RNA (331 nucleotides) under Hordeum vulgare. RNAcentral describes it as "long non-coding RNA (HVUL_LNC010420)". Lineage: Eukaryota; Viridiplantae; Streptophyta; Magnoliopsida; Poales; Poaceae. The record is from RNAcentral.